This 252-nucleotide ribosomal RNA is filed under the name uncultured bacterium. Its description in RNAcentral is "partial 16S ribosomal RNA". It matches the Rfam family "Bacterial small subunit ribosomal RNA", at positions 524 to 776 of the family's 1533-position model. The record is from RNAcentral.
UACGUAGGGCGCAAGCGUUAUCCAGAAUUAUUGGGCGUAAAGAGCUCGUAGGCGGUUUGUCGCGUCUGCCGUGAAAGUCCGGGGCUCAACUCCGGAUCUGCGGUGGGUACGGGCAGACUAGAGUGAUGUAGGGGAGACUGGAAUUCCUGGUGUAGCGGUGAAAUGCGCAGAUAUCAGGAGGAACACCGAGGGCGAAGGCAGGUCUCUGGGCCAUAACGGACGCGGAGAAGCGAAAGCAUGGGAGCGAACAGG